GUUUCAGCCGCCGCGGUAAUGCGUAGGGUGCAAGCGUUAAUCGGAAUUACUGGGCGUAAAGCGUGCGCAGGCGGUUAUGCAAGACAGAGGUGAAAUCCCCGGGCUCAACCUGGGAACUGCCUUUGUGACUGCGUGGCUAGAGUACGGUAGAGGGGGAUGGAAUUCCGCGUGUAGCAGUGAAAUGCGUAGAUAUGCGGAGGAACACCGAUGGCGAAGGCAAUCCCCUGGACCUGUACUGACGCUCAUGCACGAAAGCGUGGGAAGCAAACAGGAUUAGAUACCCUGGUAGUCCACGCCCUAAACGAUGUCAACUGGUUGUUGGGAGGGUUUCUUCUCAGUAACGUAGCUAACGCGUGAAGUUGACCGCCUGGGGAGUACGGCCGCAAGGUUGAAACUCAAAGGAAUUGACGGGGACCCGCACAAGCGGUGGAUGAUGUGGUUUAAUUCGAUGCAACGCGAAAAACCUUACCUACCCUUGACAUGCCAGGAAUCCUGAAGAGAUUUGGGAGUGCUCGAAAGAGAGCCUGGACACAGGUGCUGCAUGGCCGUCGUCAGCUCGUGUCGUGAGAUGUUGGGUUAAGUCCCGCAACGAGCGCAACCCUUGUCAUUAGUUGCUACGAAAGGGCACUCUAAUGAGACUGCCGGUGACAAACCGGAGGAAGGUGGGGAUGACGUCAGGUCAUCAUGGCCCUUAUGGGUAGGGCUACACACGUCAUACAAUGGCCGGGACAGAGGGCUGCCAACCCGCGAGGGGGAGCUAAUCCCAGAAACCCGGUCGUAGUCCGGAUCGUAGUCUGCAACUCGACUGCGUGAAGUCGGAAUCGCUAGUAAUCGCGGAUCAGCUUGCCGCGGUGAAUACGUUCCCGGGUCUUGUACACACCGCCCGUCAAAC
This 892-nucleotide ribosomal RNA is filed under the name uncultured bacterium. Its description in RNAcentral is "bacterial SSU rRNA". It matches the Rfam family "Bacterial small subunit ribosomal RNA", at positions 505 to 1402 of the family's 1533-position model. The record is from RNAcentral.